AGGACGAACGCUGGCGGCGUGCUUAACACAUGCAAGUCGAGCGAGGUCCUUCCUUCGGGAAGGUGCCCUAGCGGCGAACGGGUGAGUAACACGUGGGCAACCUACCCCUAGCACUGGGAUAACUCCGGGAAACCGGGGCUAAUACCGGAUAUGACCUUUGAGGGCAUCCUCGAAGGUGUAAAGGAUUCUGGCUAGGGAUGGGCCCGCGGCCUAUCAGCUUGUUGGUGGGGUAACGGCCUACCAAGGCGACGACGGGUAGCCGGCCUGAGAGGGCGACCGGCCACACUGGGACUGAGACACGGCCCAGACUCCUACGGGAGGCAGCAGUGGGGAAUAUUGCACAAUGGGCGAAAGCCUGAUGCAGCGACGCCGCGUGAGGGAUGACGGCCUUCGGGUUGUAAACCUCUUUCAGCAGGGACGAAGCGAAAGUGACGGUACCUGCAGAAGAAGCACCGGCCAACUACGCGCCAGCAGCCGC
Molecule: ribosomal RNA, 478 nt
Filed under: uncultured bacterium
Lineage: Bacteria
Description: SSU rRNA
Rfam family: Bacterial small subunit ribosomal RNA
Source: RNAcentral